UACGUAGGGUGCAAGCGUUAAUCGGAAUUACUGGGCGUAAAGCGUGCGCAGGCGGUUAUGCAAGACAGAUGUGAAAUCCCCGGGCUUAACCUGGGAACCGCAUUUGUGACUGCAUAGCUGGAGUACGGCAGAGGGGGAUGGAAUUCCGCGUGUAGCAGUGAAAUGCGAAGAUAUGCGGAGGAACACCGAUGGCGAAGGCAGUCCCCUGGGCCUGUACUGACGCUCAUGCACGAAAGCGUGGGGAGCAAACAGG
RNAcentral lists this ribosomal RNA (253 nucleotides) under uncultured bacterium. Its description in RNAcentral is "partial 16S ribosomal RNA". It matches the Rfam family "Bacterial small subunit ribosomal RNA", at positions 524 to 776 of the family's 1533-position model. The record is from RNAcentral.